This 242-nucleotide long non-coding RNA is filed under the name Monodelphis domestica (gray short-tailed opossum). Its description in RNAcentral is "lncRNA (ENSMODG00000034765.2)". Lineage: Eukaryota; Metazoa; Chordata; Mammalia; Didelphimorphia; Didelphidae. The record is from RNAcentral.
AGUCCUGAUUUAUAGCAGAAAUAUACAUGCUACCACUGAGGAUUUGGCUCCAGAAUAUGCCUGCAUUUGUGAUGUAAAGAGGCUUAACAGUCAAACCCUGGAGAACUAUUGAGAGCCUUGAAAAAAUUGAGCUUCCUCUGACAAUAAGUGUGUCAGCCUCAGCAUCUUUGAUUACAUCUCUGGAAGCUAUACUGCCAAGGUGUAUGAAAUCAUUACUGAAAAAGCAUGGGAGCAAGCACACA